GCAUAUCAAUAAGCGGAGGAAAAGAAACCAACAGGGAUUGCCUUAGUAACGGCGAGUGAAGCGGCAACAGCUCAAAUUUGAAAGCUGGCCCUUUUAGGGUCCGCGUUGUAAUUUGUAGAGGAUGAUUCGGCGAGGGCUCCUGCCUAAGUCCCCUGGAACGGGGCGUCAUAGAGGGUGAGAAUCCCGUAUGCGGUAGGUUGCCUUAGCCAUGUGAAUCUCCUUCGACGAGUCGAGUUGUUUGGGAAUGCAGCUCUAAAUGGGAGGUAAAUUUCUUCUAAAGCUAAAUACCGGCCAGAGACCGAUAGCGCACAAGUAGAGUGAUCGAAAGAUGAAAAGCACUUUGGAAAGAGAGUUAAAAAGUACGUGAAAUUGUUGAAAGGGAAGCGCUUGCAACCAGACUUGUCCGCAGUUGCUCAGCCGGUCUCCUGACCGGCGUACUCUUCUGCGGCCAGGCCAGCAUCAGUUCGGGCGGUCGGAUAAAGGCCUCGGGAAUGUGGCUCCUCUCGGGGAGUGUUAUAGCCCGGGGUGCAAUGCGGCCAGCCUGGACUGAGGAACUCGCUUCGGCAAGGAUGCUGGCGUAAUGGUUGUAAGCGGCCCGUCUUGAAACACGGACC
RNAcentral lists this ribosomal RNA (614 nucleotides) under Lasiodiplodia theobromae. Its description in RNAcentral is "partial large subunit ribosomal RNA". It matches the Rfam family "Eukaryotic large subunit ribosomal RNA", at positions 38 to 667 of the family's 3401-position model. The record is from RNAcentral. Lineage: Eukaryota; Fungi; Ascomycota; Dothideomycetes; Botryosphaeriales; Botryosphaeriaceae.